RNAcentral lists this long non-coding RNA (750 nucleotides) under Coturnix japonica (Japanese quail). RNAcentral describes it as "lncRNA (ENSCJPG00005000671.1)". Lineage: Eukaryota; Metazoa; Chordata; Aves; Galliformes; Phasianidae. The record is from RNAcentral.
CACCUGUAUUUCUCAUAGCACAAAUAAACAUAUUUAUUACUCAAGGAGUAUUUAUCUGUUUGCUAGAUAUGGGCUGAACUGUAAAACUGGAAGCAUUGAGUGCUGCUUGAUGUGAGCUGAGGAGCAAUGGAACUCCAGCUGCUAAGGCAUCCAUUCAGUGGGACUUAGUCCUUUGCUACCAUACUCCUUUCCACAUUGCUCUCCUCGUUGCUGAAGAAUAGUAGCACUAUAUGUACAUGGAUAUUAACUUCAAAGCUCAAUCCUGUCGAUCAACAUUAAGAAGGAUGAUGAUGUAAGACAGCAUAUGGUGAGAAAAACUAUCCAUAACAAAAAGCACAAGUCCUUCUCUGAUGUGCUUCUCUUCUAUUGAACAGCUGCCAGUAUAUGGGAGGCAGAGUUAAUGGAGAGCAAUUCUUCCAUUGACUCCAAGCACUGCACCACAGAGAACAUCUGUCAGCAGCAGAGCUUGCUUUCACUUUCACAGUGCACUGUUGCUUGUGUCAGAAGUUCACUGACUCUGGAUGCAGUCAUGAAUGCUGAGUGAUUCUACAAAGUGGGUCCUGUUCCUUAUGCUCCACCCUUCUUGAGUUAACACUGAAGGGACACUUCACUUCAGAAGGAUGAAAGAAUAGCUCUUAUGAACUUGCCAUCAUCUGCACCACAGCUGGCAUCAACAACACUGCUGAGCCUCACAGUGAAAAGAGGCUAUGAGCUAGAUCUGGUGAGAAUUAAAUGCUUUUAAAGUGUUUU